CCUACGGGUGGCAGCAGUGAGGAAUAUUGGUCAAUGGGCGCGAGCCUGAACCAGCCAAGUAGCGUGAAGGAUGACUGCCCUACGGGUUGUAAACUUCUUUUAUAAGGGAAUAAAGUGUGGCACGUGUGCCUUUUUGUCUGUACUUUAUGAAUAAGGAUCGGCUAACUCCGUGCCAGCAGCCGCGGUAAUACGGAGGAUCCGAGCGUUAUCCGGAUUUAUUGGGUUUAAAGGGAGCGUAGGUGGGUUUUUAAGUCAGUUGUGAAAGGUUGCGGCUCAACCGUAAAAUUGCAAUUGAUACUGGCAGACUUGAGUACAGACGAGGUAGGCGGAAUACGUGGAGUAGCGGUGAAAUGCUUAGAUAUCACGUAGAACUCCGAUAGCGAAGGCAGCUUACUAGACUGCCACUGACAUUGAAGCACGAGAGUGUGGGUAGCAAACAGGAUUAGAUACCCGUGUAGUC
This 460-nucleotide ribosomal RNA is filed under the name uncultured bacterium. RNAcentral's name for it is "partial 16S ribosomal RNA". It matches the Rfam family "Bacterial small subunit ribosomal RNA", at positions 338 to 795 of the family's 1533-position model. The record is from RNAcentral.